This 22-nucleotide microRNA is filed under the name Ananas comosus (pineapple). RNAcentral describes it as "microRNA s0753_c96a". Lineage: Eukaryota; Viridiplantae; Streptophyta; Magnoliopsida; Poales; Bromeliaceae. The record is from RNAcentral.
ACGGCUGUAGAUAUAGGUCUUU